RNAcentral lists this unclassified non-coding RNA (323 nucleotides) under soil metagenome. Its description in RNAcentral is "partial contains 5.8S ribosomal RNA, internal transcribed spacer 2, and large subunit ribosomal RNA". The stretch from base 1 to 120 matches the Rfam family "5.8S ribosomal RNA", at positions 35 to 154 of the family's 154-position model. The record is from RNAcentral.
GAUGAAGAACGCAGCGAAAUGCGAUAAGUAAUGCGAAUUGCAGAAUUCAGUGAGUCAUCGAAUCUUUGAACGCACAUUGCGCCCUGUGGUAUUCCGCAGGGCAUGCCUGUUCGGGCGUCAUUUCAACCCUCAAGCUCUGCUUGGUGUUGGGCCCUGCCCGCUGCGGCCGGCCCUAAAGACAGUGGCGGUGCCGCCUGGCCCUGAGCGUAGUACAUCUCUCGCUCCAGUGCCCGGUGGUAGCCUGCCAGAACCCCAACUCUCGUGGUUGACCUCGGAUCAGGUAGGGAUACCCGCUGAACUUAAGCAUAUCAAUAAGCGGAGGA